GGUCCGUUGGUCAAGGGGUUAAGACACCGCCUUUUCACGGCGGUAACACGGGUUCGAAUCCCGUGCGGACUA
RNAcentral lists this transfer RNA (72 nucleotides) under Streptococcus suis. RNAcentral's name for it is "tRNA-Glu". It matches the Rfam family "tRNA". From Rfam's summary of the family: Transfer RNA (tRNA) molecules are approximately 80 nucleotides in length. The record is from RNAcentral. RNAcentral also lists the same sequence under 1 other name. Lineage: Bacteria; Bacillati; Bacillota; Bacilli; Lactobacillales; Streptococcaceae.